GACAUUAGACGAAUCAUCUGGAAAGAUGAAUCAAAGAAGGUAAUAAUCCUGUAGUCGAAAAUGUUGUCUCUCUUGAGUGGAUCCUGAGUACGACGGAGCACGUGAAAUUCCGUCGGAAUCUGGGAGGACCAUCUCCUAAGGCUAAAUACUCUCUAGUGACCGAUAGUGAACCAGUACCGUGAGGGAAAGGUGAAAAGCACCCCGGAAGGGGAGUGAAAUAGAACCUGAAACCGUGUGCUUACAAGUAGUCAGAGCCCGUUAAUGGGUGAUGGCGUGCCUUUUGUAGAAUGAACCGGCGAGUUACGAUUUGAUGCAAGGUUAAGCAGUAAAUGUGGAGCCGUAGCGAAAGCGAGUCUGAAUAGGGCGUUUAGUAUUUGGUCGUAGACCCGAAACCAGGUGAUCUACCCUUGGUCAGGUUGAAGUUCAGGUAACACUGAAUGGAGGACCGAACCGACUUACGUUGAAAAGUGAGCGGAUGAACUGAGGGUAGCGGAGAAAUUCCAAUCGAACCUGGAGAUAGCUGGUUCUCUCCGAAAUAGCUUUAGGGCUAGCCUCAAGUGAUGAUUAUUGGAGGUAGAGCACUGUUUGGACGAGGGGCCCCUCUCGGGUUACCGAAUUCAGACAAACUCCGAAUGCCAAUUAAUUUAACUUGGGAGUCAGAACAUGGGUGAUAAGGUCCGUGUUCGAAAGGGAAACAGCCCAGACCACCAGCUAAGGUCCCAAAAUAUAUGUUAAGUGGAAAAGGAUGUGGCGUUGCCCAGACAACUAGGAUGUUGGCUUAGAAGCAGCCAUCAUUUAAAGAGUGCGUAAUAGCUCACUAGUCGAGUGACACUGCGCCGAAAAUGUACCGGGGCUAAACAUAUUACCGAAGCUGUGGAUUGUCCUUUGGACAAUGGUAGGAGAGCGUUCUAAGGGCGUUGAAGCAUGAUCGUAAGGACAUGUGGAGCGCUUAGAAGUGAGAAUGCCGGUGUGAGUAGCGAAAGACGGGUGAGAAUCCCGUCCACCGAUUGACUAAGGUUUCCAGAGGAAGGCUCGUCCGCUCUGGGUUAGUCGGGUCCUAAGCUGAGGCCGACAGGCGUAGGCGAUGGAUAACAGGUUGAUAUUCCUGUACCACCUAUAAUCGUUUUAAUCGAUGGGGGGACGCAGUAGGAUAGGCGAAGCGUGCGAUUGGAUUGCACGUCUAAGCAGUAAGGCUGAGUAUUAGGCAAAUCCGGUACUCAUUAAGGCUGAGCUGUGAUGGGGAGAAGACAUUGUGUCUUCGAGUCGUUGAUUUCACACUGCCGAGAAAAGCCUCUAGAUAGAAAAUAGGUGCCCGUACCGCAAACCGACACAGGUAGUCAAGAUGAGAAUUCUAAGGUGAGCGAGCGAACUCUCGUUAAGGAACUCGGCAAAAUGACCCCGUAACUUCGGGAGAAGGGGUGCUCUUUAGGGUUAACGCCCAGAAGAGCCGCAGUGAAUAGGCCCAAGCGACUGUUUAUCAAAAACACAGGUCUCUGCUAAACCGUAAGGUGAUGUAUAGGGGCUGACGCCUGCCCGGUGCUGGAAGGUUAAGAGGAGUGGUUAGCUUCUGCGAAGCUACGAAUCGAAGCCCCAGUAAACGGCGGCCGUAACUAUAACGGUCCUAAGGUAGCGAAAUUCCUUGUCGGGUAAGUUCCGACCCGCACGAAAGGCGUAACGAUUUGGGCACUGUCUCAACGAGAGACUCGGUGAAAUCAUAGUACCUGUGAAGAUGCAGGUUACCCGCGACAGGACGGAAAGACCCCGUGGAGCUUUACUGUAGCCUGAUAUUGAAAUUCGGCACAGCUUGUACAGGAUAGGUAGGAGCCUUUGAAACGUGAGCGCUAGCUUACGUGGAGGCGCUGGUGGGAUACUACCCUAGCUGUGUUGGCUUUCUAACCCGCACCACUUAUCGUGGUGGGAGACAGUGUCAGGCGGGCAGUUUGACUGGGGCGGUCGCCUCCUAAAAGGUAACGGAGGCGCUCAAAGGUUCCCUCAGAAUGGUUGGAAAUCAUUCAUAGAGUGUAAAGGCAUAAGGGAGCUUGACUGCGAGACCUACAAGUCGAGCAGGGUCGAAAGACGGACUUAGUGAUCCGGUGGUUCCGCAUGGAAGGGCCAUCGCUCAACGGAUAAAAGCUACCCCGGGGAUAACAGGCUUAUCUCCCCCAAGAGUUCACAUCGACGGGGAGGUUUGGCACCUCGAUGUCGGCUCAUCGCAUCCUGGGGCUGUAGUCGGUCCCAAGGGUUGGGCUGUUCGCCCAUUAAAGCGGUACGCGAGCUGGGUUCAGAACGUCGUGAGACAGUUCGGUCCCUAUCCGUCGUGGGCGUAGGAAAUUUGAGAGGAGCUGUCCUUAGUACGAGAGGACCGGGAUGGACAUACCUCUGGUGUACCAGUUGUCGUGCCAACGGCAUAGCUGGGUAGCUAUGUGUGGACGGGAUAAGUGCUGAAAGCAUCUAAGCAUGAAGCCCCCCUCAAGAUGAGAUUUCCCAACUUCGGUUAUAAGAUCCCUCAAAGAUGAUGAGGUUAAUAGGUUCGAGGUGGAAGCAUGGUGACAUGUGGAGCUGACGAAUACUAAUCGAUCGAAGACUUAAUCAA
This 2593-nucleotide ribosomal RNA is filed under the name Staphylococcus aureus. Its description in RNAcentral is "partial 23S ribosomal RNA". It matches the Rfam family "Bacterial large subunit ribosomal RNA", at positions 325 to 2925 of the family's 2925-position model. The record is from RNAcentral. Lineage: Bacteria; Bacillati; Bacillota; Bacilli; Caryophanales; Staphylococcaceae.